Molecule: ribosomal RNA, 1176 nt
Filed under: uncultured Basidiomycota
Lineage: Eukaryota; Fungi; Basidiomycota
Description: eukaryotic LSU rRNA
Rfam family: Eukaryotic large subunit ribosomal RNA (bases 741-1176)
Source: RNAcentral
CUUGGUCAUUUAGAGGAAGUAAAAGUCGUAACAAGGUUUCCGUAGGUGAACCUGCGGAAGGAUCAUUAUCGAAAAAGCAAUCCAGAGGGGGGGAGAUGAUCGGGCGAAGUUUGGUAGAUCGUAGGGAUUGUCGCUGGCCUUUGGCAUGUGCACGUUCCGAACUCUCCUUAGUCCUCGUUCGCUCUUUCCUUUUGGAGACCUUUACUCAACACCCGUGCACCUUAUUGUAGGUCCUGCAAGGGAUCUAUGUCUUUAUCUACCCCCAAACGUAUGUCUUAGAAUCUCAUUUAAUGCGUCGAUCGGCCCGGCUAACGCCUCGUCGGCGACGGUAAAGAAUCAUACAACUUUCAGCAACGGAUCUCUUGGCUCUCGCAUCGAUGAAGAACGCAGCGAAUUGCGAUACGUAAUGUGAAUUGCAGAUUUUCAGUGAAUCAUCGAAUCUUUGAAUGCACCUUGCGCUCCUUGGUAUUCCGAGGAGCAUGCCUGUUUGAGUGUCAUUGAAUUCUCAACCAUCUUUUUGAUUAAUUUCAAGGGAUGGCUUGGAUCUUGGGGGUUGCUGGCUUCUCUCACCCUUCGGGAUGGGGUCGGCUCUCCUUAAAAGCAUUAGCGAAAGGCGACGAAGCCCUGCAUGCACGGCCUUUGACGUGAUAAUGAUCGUCGCGGCUGGAGUGCGAGGCGUAGAUCGUUCCUUUGCUUCCAAAAACAUGGUAUCGGGGAUGAACCCUUUACCUUUUGACACUUGACCUCAAAUCAGGUAGGACUACCCGCUGAACUUAAGCAUAUCAAUAAGCGGAGGAAAAGAAACUAACAAGGAUUCCCCUAGUAACUGCGAGUGAAGCGGGAAGAGCUCAAAUUUUGAAUCUGGCGGUCUUUCGGCCGUCCGAGUUGUAAUCUAGAGAAGCGUUUUCCGCGCUGGACCGUGUACAAGUCUCCUGGAAGGGAGCGUCAUAGAGGGUGAGAAUCCCGUCUCUGACACGGACUACCAGUGCUAUGUGAUGCGCUCUCGACGAGUCGAGUUGUUUGGGAAUGCAGCUCAAAUCGGGUGGUAAAUUCCAUCUAAAGCUAAAUAUAGGCGAGAGACCGAUAGCGAACAAGUACCGUGAGGGAAAGAUGAAAAGAACUUUGGAAAGAGAGUUAAACCGUACGUGAAAUUGCUGAAAGGGAAACGCUUGAAGU